GUAGACCUUAUGGCCCAGGGAUGUGGGGGGUAAACCCCCCAAACCUUAGACCCCUAGGUGUUUGGAAGGAAUUCAGCCCACUGGAAUUGGACACGGUCCAGAUUCUACGGGAGGCACCAGUGGGAAUAUGCACAAUGGCGAAACCCUGAUCAGCAACGCCGCGUGGAGGAUGCACAUUUCGGUGCGUAACUCCUUUUAUAUGAGAAGAUAAUGACGGUACCAUAUGAAUAAGCACCGGCUAACUCCGUGCCAGCAGCCGCGGUAAUACGGAGGGUGCAAGCGUUACUCGGAAUCACUGGGCGUAAAGCGCGCGCAGGCGGCUAUUUAAGUUGGAUGUGAAAGCCUACGGCUCAACCGUAGAACUGCAUCCAAAACUAUUUAGCUAGAGUGUGGGAGAGGAAGAUGGAAUUAGUUGUGUAGGGGUAAAAUCCGUAGAGAUAACUAGGAAUACCAAAAGCGAAGGCAAUCUUCUGGAACACUACUGACGCUGAGGCGCGAAAGCGUGGGGAGCAAACAGGAUUAGAUACCCUGGUAGUCCACGCAGUAAACGAUGAAUGUUAGUCGUCGGGUAGCUAGUCUAUUCGGUGAUGCAGCUAACGCAUUAAACAUUCCGCCUGGGGAGUACGGUCGCAAGAUUAAAACUCAAAGGAAUAGACGGGGACCCGCACAAGUGGUGGAGCAUGUGGUUUAAUUCGAAGAUACGCGAAGAACCUUACCUAGCCUUGACAUAUUUGAAAAUCCACCAGAGAUGGAGGAGUGCCUUCGGGAGUUCAUUUACAGGUGCUGCACGGCUGUCGUCAGCUCGUGUCGUGAGAUGUUGGGUUAAGUCCCGCAACGAGCGCAACCCUCGUCACUAGUUACUAACGGUUCGGCCGAGGACUCUAGUGAGACUGCCUUCGUAAGGAGGAGGAAGGUGAGGACGACGUCAAGUCAUCAUGGCCCUUACGGCUAGGGCAACACACGUGCUACAAUGGCCAGGACAGUGAGAAGCGAUACCGCGAGGUGGAGCAAAUCUAUAAACCUGGUCUCAGUUCGGAUUGUAGUCUGCAACUCGACUACAUGAAGCUGGAAUCACUAGUAAUCGUAGAUCAGCUAUGCUACGGUGAAUACGUUCCCGGGUCUUGUACUCACCGCCCGUCACACCAUGGGAGUUGAUUUCACCCGAAGCGGGGAAGCUAAACUGGCUACCCUCCACGGUGGAAUUAGCGACUGGGGUGAAGUCGUAACAAGGUACC
Molecule: ribosomal RNA, 1235 nt
Filed under: uncultured Campylobacterota bacterium
Lineage: Bacteria; Pseudomonadati; Campylobacterota
Description: bacterial SSU rRNA
Rfam family: Bacterial small subunit ribosomal RNA
Source: RNAcentral